CCUACGGGUGGCAGCAGUGGGGAAUAUUGCACAAUGGGGGAAACCCUGAUGCAGCGACGCCGCGUGAAGGAAGAAGUAUUUCGGUAUGUAAACUUCUAUCAUCAGGGAAGAAAAUGACGGUAUCUGACAAAGAAGCACCGGCUAAAUACGUGCCAGCAGCCGCGGUGAUAAGUAGGGGGCAAGCGUUAUCCGGAUUUACUGGGUGUAAAGGGUGCGUAGGCGGGUGUGCAAUGCAGAAGUGAAAGCCCGGGGGUUAACUCUGGGACUGCUUUUGAAACUGUGUUGCUAGAGUGCAGGAGAGGUAAGUGGAAUUCCUAGUGUAGCGGUGAAAUGCGUAGAUAUUAGGAGGAACACCAGUGGCGAAGGCGGCUUACUGGACUGUAAAUGACGCUGAGGCUCGAAAGCGUGGGGAGCAAACAGGAUUAGAUACCCGAGUAGUC
This 440-nucleotide ribosomal RNA is filed under the name uncultured bacterium. RNAcentral describes it as "partial 16S ribosomal RNA". It matches the Rfam family "Bacterial small subunit ribosomal RNA", at positions 338 to 795 of the family's 1533-position model. The record is from RNAcentral.